GACGAACGCUGGCGGCGUGCUUAACACAUGCAAGUCGAGCGAUGAAGCACCUUCGGGUGUGGAUUAGCGGCGAACGGGUGAGGAACACGUGAGGAAUCUGCCUUUCACUUCGGGAUAACUCCGGGAAACCGGGGCUAAUACUGGAUAUUUUCAACUGGCGGCAUCGCCGGUUGAAGAAAGUUUUUCGGUGAAAGAUGACCUCGCGGCCUAUCAGCUUGUUGGUGAGGUAAUGGCUCACCAAGGCGACGACGGGUAGCCGGCCUGAGAGGGCGACCGGCCACACUGGGACUGAGACACGGCCCAGACUCCUACGGGAGGCAGCAGUGGGGAAUAUUGGGCAAUGGAGGAAACUCUGACCCAGCGGCGCCGCGUGAGGGAUGAAGGCCUUCGGGUUGUAAACCUCUUUCAGCAGGGAAUAAGCGAAAGUGAAGGUACCUGCAGAAGAAGCACCGGCUAACUAUGUGCCAGCCGCCGCCGUAA
This 480-nucleotide ribosomal RNA is filed under the name uncultured bacterium. Its description in RNAcentral is "partial 16S ribosomal RNA". It matches the Rfam family "Bacterial small subunit ribosomal RNA", at positions 28 to 523 of the family's 1533-position model. The record is from RNAcentral.